UACGUAGGGGGCUAGCGUUGUCCGGAUUUAUUGGGCGUAAAGGGCGCGUAGGCGGCCACCGCAGGUCGAUUGUGAAAUCUCCGGGCUUAACCCGGAAAGGUCAACCGAUACUGCGGGGCUAGAGUGCAGAAGGGGCAACUGGAAUUCUCGGUGUAGCGGUGAAAUGCGUAGAUAUCGAGAGGAACACCUGCGGCGAAGGCGGGUUGCUGGGCUGACACUGACGCUGAUGUGCGAAAGCUAGGGGAGCGAACGGG
This 254-nucleotide ribosomal RNA is filed under the name uncultured bacterium. RNAcentral describes it as "partial 16S ribosomal RNA". It matches the Rfam family "Bacterial small subunit ribosomal RNA", at positions 524 to 776 of the family's 1533-position model. The record is from RNAcentral.